GACGAACGCUGGCGGCGUGCUUAACACAUGCAAGUCGAACGGAAAGGCCCUGCUUUUGUGGGGUGCUCGAGUGGCGAACGGGUGAGUAACACGUGAGUAACCUGCCCUUGACUUUGGGAUAACUUCAGGAAACUGGGGCUAAUACCGGAUAGGAGCUCCUGCUGCAUGGUGGGGGUUGGAAAGUUUCGGCGGUUGGGGAUGGACUCGCGGCUUAUCAGCUUGUUGGUGGGGUAGUGGCUUACCAAGGCUUUGACGGGUAGCCGGCCUGAGAGGGUGACCGGCCACAUUGGGACUGAGAUACGGCCCAGACUCCUACGGGAGGCAGCAGUGGGGAAUAUUGCACAAUGGGCGGAAGCCUGAUGCAGCAACGCCGCGUGCGGGAUGAUGGCCUUCGGGUUGUAAGCCGCUUUCGCCUGUGACGAAGCGUGAGUGACGGUAAUGGGUAAAGAAGCACCGGCUAACUACGUG
RNAcentral lists this ribosomal RNA (468 nucleotides) under uncultured bacterium. RNAcentral's name for it is "partial 16S ribosomal RNA". It matches the Rfam family "Bacterial small subunit ribosomal RNA", at positions 28 to 507 of the family's 1533-position model. The record is from RNAcentral.